CACAUCUGAACUAUGAUACCUGGGAGGUAAUUACCCCACACUCAUAUUAGAAUUGUGAUACCUGGGAGGUAAUUACCCCACACUCAUAUUAGAAUUGGGAUACCUGGGAGGUAAUUACCCCACACUCAUAUUAGAAUUGUGAUACCUGGGAGGCAAUUACCCCACACUCAUAUUAGAAUUGUGAUACCUGGGAGGUAAUUACCCCACACUCAUAUUAGAAUUG
This is a non-coding RNA of Pelobates cultripes (western spadefoot toad), 223 nucleotides long. NCBI's taxonomy places the organism in Eukaryota, Metazoa, Chordata, Amphibia, Anura, Pelobatidae. The record is from the annotation of a GenBank genome assembly.